Long non-coding RNA from Dalotia coriaria, 337 nucleotides. RefSeq lists it as uncharacterized. NCBI's taxonomy places the organism in Eukaryota, Metazoa, Arthropoda, Insecta, Coleoptera, Staphylinidae. The transcript is spliced from 2 exons. The record is from RefSeq and is a predicted model, not a curated record.
GGAAUAUAAAAACCUGCAAGCUGAGAAAUGUUCAAAAGAACGAGAAAUCAACGAUUUGAAACAACAGGCUGAGUUUAACCAGCUAGCUCAUUCCCAAGCAAUUGAAGAAGUUGGUGAAAGGGUGAAACAAACACUGGCAUCUAAAGAUCAACAGAUCACAUUGUUAUCUGAAAAAGUAAAAGCUCUGCAGGCUGCUUUCAAAGAGCAGCUGAAUAACGCCAGUCCAAUCUAACUGCAAAUAUAACGUAUAAUCGUAUACAUCGAAUAAUUAUAAAACAUUUAUUUUCGUCCAGUAAAUAUUAAUAUGAAUCAAUAUACUGAUCAUUUAGUUUCUCAA